GAUAAAAGUUGGGUAUAUUUGUCCCCUCACUAUUUUUACUGUAUUGUAUUUCCUAUAUUCUGUAUCAGCCACUGGGGUUGACCCAAUUCUUAUUCAUGACUUCAUGGAACUCCAAGGCAGGGAUGUGUCAUGUUUUUAUUUAUCUGUUCUCAUGAUGAACAUUUAGGUAACUGUGAUGUUUAUUAUUUCCUUCCUUCUGCUGACUUUGGAUUUGUUUGUUCUUCUUUUUCUAAUUCUUUCAGGUGGCAGGUUAGGUUGUUUGAGAUUUUUCUUGUUUUUUGAGGAAAUGCCUGUAUUGCUAUGGACUUCCCUCUUAGGACUGCUUUCGUUGCAUCUCAGAGAUUUUGCAGAUUUAUGUUCAUUGUCAUUUGUCUCAAGAGGAAUGGACUUGGAUGCAGGAAUUUUGGGUUCAGAAUUCUGGGCUUGGCCACUUGAUGGUUAGCACCUGACGAUUGCUUACGAGCACUGGCUAUAAUAACCAUGGACGUUUACUGAGCGAUGACUGCAUGCCAGGCACUGUGAUCAUGUUUCCAUGGAUCAAGGCAUUUAACCUCACCAUCACCUGAUGAGUAGGCGAAGAACCUCAGCUGGGGAAGGAGAGACUUGCCUGAGGCCACUCGAUGGAGGCAGCAGAGUCUGCCAGUGGCCUGCAGGAGCACUGCGUGUCAUGAGCUGAACACAUAUGGUGGCCUCCACUGUGCCACGAGCUUUAUGCAAACCUUCGGGACAACUCCAGGACAAGGAGAAUAAACCUCUCACUGAAAAUAGCUAGAAAGGCUGGACCCAGCCAGAUCUGUCUGGAGACUGGACAGUUAAUGAGACAGCCACAACCUGAGGGUCCAAGAUGCCAGAUGUUUGGGAAACCAAUUAAGAUGCAGAAAACGAGGAACAGAGAGAUCCAAUACUUUGUCCAAGGUCACCUGCAAGCCUGCUGGGGAUGAAGAGGGGAUUCCAGCCCAGGCAGCUUGACUCACAAGACCAAACCAGGGAAUGCUGCCUAGGGGAGGGUACUUAGACAUGUGACUAAAUGAGCAGAAAGACACAAGAGUCUGGGGAAGAAAAGCAUGAAACUCCUCUCCAGAGAAUCCCCAGUGAGCUGCAGAAAGGACUGUUCUGCCCAACGCAGUCACCGCUAGCCGCAUGUGGUUACCGAGCGUGUGAAAAGUGGACAGACUGUGUGGGGCCGAGGCAGCUGUGUCCCUGCUUGGACAGGAGAGAAGAGGAGGAGCAAAGGUGCCAGAUGACAUGACAGACCCCCAGAAAUCCUUGGAAGGACCCCCAGGAGCACGGGGCUGCUGGCAGGGAGGUGCAUGGUGGCUGGAGAUGUUCAUUAGGUUUUGAAGGGAAGGAGCACCCCAGCAGGCUGGCUGACACCAGGACCCGAGGCCGCUUACAGGGGGGGUGUUGUGAUACCCUCCGGAGUGCUGGGCAGCAGCUGAGAAGUUUGGUGGCAGUGCUAGCAGGGAAGUUGACGACGUGGAUGCAGGCAAUGCUAGAAGCCACAACCAAAUAACGUGGAAACCUUUCCAAACAACAUGGAAAGGUCUCUAGGAUCCGCUGUCAGGUGAACGAUGGUCUAUCAGAGAGAAUGAAAUGGGAAAGAAUCUUCUCCAUCCCAAGGUGGAUUAUUUGGAGGAACUGUUGACUGAAAUGGAAACACACAAUGUGAGAGCUGUGCGUUUCAAUUUGAUCGGGGACUUAUCGAGGACUCUGGCCCAGAAGGCGGCCUCUCAGGGAGCUCUCAGAAACUGUUCCGAAGAGCUGAGGGGGGAGGCCAUCGCAUGUGUGAUUUUAGAGAAGGGUACGUGCAACCAAGCACACAUCUUGGAAGAAGGCUGCUGCCAGUCACGAGGAACAGACAUCUUAGUUAAUGAUUUUAGUGCUUUUCCAAGUACGAGCAGAUGCAAGAACCUUAGGUUCAUAACAUUUUCUCCUGAAAAUAUGUAACCAGCUGAAGGCCCAUUCUGCCAGUUUUCCCAGCGCACAGAGCACCUCGUUCCUGAUCUCCACCCUGAACUCCUAUCAGGGCGUGUUAAAGGUCAGUGACAGCAGUGGCUAAUGACUCAGUCCUUGUAGAGCCGGAUGGCCAGCGACAUUCUUUAGUUGGCAGAUUUGAUUGAAUCCUGCGUAGACCUUUGGCCGAGGGAGCUCCCAGUCUUGAGGAGGAAAGGCCACAGCACAGAGGGAAGUGGCCUCUCCUAGCUGGCUCCAUCAGGCAGGGCUACAGCCAGGGCCCCGUCUGCCUCUCUCCCUCCUCCCCCGUCCUCCUAGGGCUCUGGCCUUGGCUACCAGUGUCCUAGAGGUGGUGCCACGAGGGUUUCCACCAGGAGCGAUCA
This is a long non-coding RNA of Camelus dromedarius (Arabian camel), 2336 nucleotides long. RefSeq lists it as uncharacterized. The record is from RefSeq and is a predicted model, not a curated record. NCBI's taxonomy places the organism in Eukaryota, Metazoa, Chordata, Mammalia, Artiodactyla, Camelidae. The transcript is spliced from 9 exons.